GAUGAACGCUGGCGGCGUGCCUAAUACAUGCAAGUCGAGCGAACAGACGAGGAGCUUGCUCCUCUGACGUUAGCGGCGGACGGGUGGGUAACACGUGGAUAACCUACCUAUAAGACUGGGAUAACUUCGGGAAACCGGAGCUAAUACCGGAUAAUAUAUUGAACCGCAUGGUUCAAUAGUGAAAGACGGUUUUGCUGUCACUUAUAGAUGGAUCCGCGCCGCAUUAGCUAGUUGGUAAGGUAACGGCCUACCAAGGCAACGAUGCGUAGCCGACCUGAGAGGGUGAUCGGCCACACUGGAACUGAGACACGGUCCAGACUCCUACGGGAGGCAGCAGUAGGGAAUCUUCCGCAAUGGGCGAAAGCCUGACGGAGCAACGCCGCGUGAGUGAUGAAGGUCUUCGGAUCGUAAAACUCUGUUAUUAGGGAAGAACAAAUGUGUAAGUAACUAUGCACGUCUUGACGGUACCUAAUCAGAAAGCCACGGCUAACUACGUG
Molecule: ribosomal RNA, 497 nt
Filed under: uncultured bacterium
Lineage: Bacteria
Description: partial 16S ribosomal RNA
Rfam family: Bacterial small subunit ribosomal RNA
Source: RNAcentral